This 253-nucleotide ribosomal RNA is filed under the name uncultured bacterium. RNAcentral's name for it is "partial 16S ribosomal RNA". It matches the Rfam family "Bacterial small subunit ribosomal RNA", at positions 524 to 776 of the family's 1533-position model. The record is from RNAcentral.
UACGUAGGGUGCGAGCGUUAAUCGGAAUUACUGGGCGUAAAGCGUGCGCAGGCGGUUCGUGAUGUCUGAUGUGAAAGCCCCGGGCUUAACCUGGGAAUGGCAUUGGAAACUAGCGGGCUGGAGUGUGGCAGAGGGGGGUGGAAUUCCACGUGUAGCAGUGAAAUGCGUAGAUAUGCGGAGGAACACCGAUGGCGAAGGCAAUCCCCUGGGCCUGCACUGACGCUCAUGCACGAAAGCGUGGGGAGCAAACAGG